CGGGCAGUAGCUCAGUGGUAGAGCUCCCGCUUUGUGUGUGGGAAGACCCCGGUUUGAUUCCCUGCUGCUUAC
Molecule: transfer RNA, 72 nt
Filed under: Toxocara canis (dog roundworm)
Lineage: Eukaryota; Metazoa; Nematoda; Chromadorea; Rhabditida; Toxocaridae
Rfam family: tRNA
About the family: Transfer RNA (tRNA) molecules are approximately 80 nucleotides in length. Their secondary structure includes four short double-helical elements and three loops (D, anti-codon, and T loops).
Source: Rfam by way of RNAcentral